AUGGCGUGUGCGUGCGCGGUGGCCGCGCCAUCCCGGGCCACCGUCUCCGGCCCCGGCGCAGCCCCGCCGCCGGGGCGCGGCUCCCGCGUGAGCUGCCGGCGCUCGGCGAGGAGACGCGCCGGCGGUCGCGCUCGCGUGUCCCGCGACACCAACGGCGCCGAGGCGGAGCCGGGCAGCAAGGGUCCAAUCCCGCAGGAUGACUCCGGCUACCUCCUGACGCUGGGGCUCGGGUCCGUCGGCGGCGCGGCGGCCGUGAAGUACGGCAGCGUGCUGCUCCCCGACAUCACGCGGCCCAACAUCGUGGAGGCGCUGCUCAUGGUGUCCCUGCCCAUGGCGGUCGCCGCCCUCAUCUUGCUCAAGCUCAGCUCGACGUCCACACAGGACUAG
Molecule: ribosomal RNA, 387 nt
Filed under: Triticum aestivum (bread wheat)
Lineage: Eukaryota; Viridiplantae; Streptophyta; Magnoliopsida; Poales; Poaceae
Description: partial small subunit ribosomal RNA
Source: RNAcentral